UCCGUUAAGUCAACAUAUUCAGUCAAAUCAGCUGAUGUGUCAGUUGGUAUGAGGAGACAAAGAGGCACCGUCGACCCGUUUUGGUACGCAGAAGCAAUCACGUCACAGACAUCGGAUCUGUGUUCAUUACGCAGUGUAGUAAAUAUGUCAGUUUGAUGUAAUGCAUUAUUAGAACGUGAAUUAAAUUGACUGUUAUUGGAA
This is a long non-coding RNA of Drosophila innubila, 201 nucleotides long. RefSeq lists it as uncharacterized. Lineage: Eukaryota; Metazoa; Arthropoda; Insecta; Diptera; Drosophilidae. The transcript has 2 exons. The record is from RefSeq and is a predicted model, not a curated record.